This 450-nucleotide ribosomal RNA is filed under the name uncultured bacterium. RNAcentral describes it as "partial 16S ribosomal RNA". It matches the Rfam family "Bacterial small subunit ribosomal RNA", at positions 354 to 796 of the family's 1533-position model. The record is from RNAcentral.
GUGGGGAAUCUUCCGCAAUGGACGAAAGUCUGACGGAGCGACGCCGCGUGAGUGAAGAAGGCCUUCGGGUCGUAAAGCUCUGUCAUCAGGGACGAACGGCCGGUGGAGUGGAAAGCCACCGGAUUGACGGUACCUGAGAAGGAAGCCACGGCUAACUACGUGCCAGCAGCCGCGGUAAUACGUAGGUGGCAAGCGUUGUCCGGAAUUAUUGGGCGUAAAGUGCGCGCAGGUGGGAUCUUAAGUCCAUUUUUAAAGUUCGGAGCUCAACUCCGUGAUGGGAUGGAAACUGGGAUUCUUGAGUACCGGAGAGGAAAGCGGAAUUCCCCGUGUAGCGGUGAAAUGCGUAGAUAUGGGGAGGAACACCAGUGGCGAAGGCGGCUUUCUGGACGGUGUCUGACACUGAGGCGCGAAAGCCAGGGGAGCGAACGGGAUUAGAAACCCGAGUAGUCC